AACCCAUGCAUCAGACAUUUCUGAAUUAAAUCUUUAAGUCAUUCCCAAGCUUUAUAUAAUGUUUCACUCUCUAAUUGUUGAAAAGACAUAAUGUCAUUUUUAAGCUU
Molecule: small nucleolar RNA, 107 nt
Filed under: Gossypium hirsutum (cotton)
Lineage: Eukaryota; Viridiplantae; Streptophyta; Magnoliopsida; Malvales; Malvaceae
Description: Plant small nucleolar RNA R71
Rfam family: Plant small nucleolar RNA R71
About the family: R71 is a member of the C/D box family of snoRNAs containing the C (UGAUGA) and D (CUGA) box motifs. Multiple nearly identical copies of this snoRNA have been identified in Arabidopsis, and it is thought to function as a 2'-O-ribose methylation guide for 18S ribosomal RNA.
Source: Rfam by way of RNAcentral